UCCCCGGCUUUCCAACCAGUCUCUGCCAGCUCGUCCGUUCACCCAAGUGAUUCCUGCUUGAGCCCUGGAAGCCCAGUCUGCCUGCCCGAGCCAAAUUGUUUUUUGUUGGUCCUGCCUCUCGCCUGUCUGCCCACUCUCAGCCCCAGAGGAUUUCAAAGCACCUUCAUUACUUUUUGUGUUCAAUAAACCUCUAUACCUGUUCU
Molecule: long non-coding RNA, 203 nt
Organism: Sander lucioperca (pikeperch)
Lineage: Eukaryota; Metazoa; Chordata; Actinopteri; Perciformes; Percidae
Exons: 2
Source: RefSeq, a predicted model, not a curated record